This 649-nucleotide ribosomal RNA is filed under the name Vibrio parahaemolyticus. RNAcentral's name for it is "partial 23S ribosomal RNA". It matches the Rfam family "Bacterial large subunit ribosomal RNA", at positions 2200 to 2843 of the family's 2925-position model. The record is from RNAcentral. Lineage: Bacteria; Pseudomonadati; Pseudomonadota; Gammaproteobacteria; Vibrionales; Vibrionaceae.
CCACCCUUGUAGUGUUGAUGUUCUAACGUCGACCCCUUAUCGGGGUUGCGGACAGUGCCUGGUGGGUAGUUUGACUGGGGCGGUCUCCUCCCAAAGAGUAACGGAGGAGCACGAAGGUGGGCUAAUCACGGUUGGACAUCGUGAGGUUAGUGCAAUGGCAUAAGCCCGCUUGACUGCGAGAAUGACAAUUCGAGCAGGUGCGAAAGCAGGUCAUAGUGAUCCGGUGGUUCUGAAUGGAAGGGCCAUCGCUCAACGGAUAAAAGGUACUCCGGGGAUAACAGGCUGAUACCGCCCAAGAGUUCAUAUCGACGGCGGUGUUUGGCACCUCGAUGUCGGCUCAUCACAUCCUGGGGCUGAAGUCGGUCCCAAGGGUAUGGCUGUUCGCCAUUUAAAGUGGUACGCGAGCUGGGUUUAGAACGUCGUGAGACAGUUCGGUCCCUAUCUGCCGUGGGCGUUGGAAGAUUGAAGGGGGCUGCUCCUAGUACGAGAGGACCGGAGUGGACGAACCUCUGGUGUUCGGGUUGUGUCGCCAGACGCAUUGCCCGGUAGCUAAGUUCGGAAUCGAUAACCGCUGAAAGCAUCUAAGCGGGAAGCGAGCCCUGAGAUGAGUCUUCCCUGAUACUUUAAGUAUCCUAAAGGGUUGUCGGAG